CUUCCGUAGGGGAACCUGCGGAGGGAUCAUUACAAGAACGCCCGGGCUUCGGCCUGGUUAUUCAUAACCCUUUGUUGUCCGACUCUGUUGCCUCCGGGGCGACCCUGCCUUCGGGCGGGGGCUCCGGGUGGACACUUCAAACUCUUGCGUAACUUUGCAGUCUGAGUAAACUUAAUUAAUAAAUUAAAACUUUUAACAACGGAUCUCUUGGUUCUGGCAUCGAUGAAGAACGCAGCGAAAUGCGAUAAGUAAUGUGAAUUGCAGAAUUCAGUGAAUCAUCGAAUCUUUGAACGCACAUUGCGCCCCCUGGUAUUCCGGGGGGCAUGCCUGUUCGAGCGUCAUUUCACCACUCAAGCCUCGCUUGGUAUUGGGCAACGCGGUCCGCCGCGUGCCUCAAAUCGUCCGGCUGGGUCUUCUGUCCCCUAAGCGUUGUGGAAACUAUUCGCUAAAGGGUGUUCGGGAGGCUACGCCGUAAAACAACCCCAUUUCUAAGGUUGACCUCGGAUCAGGUAGGGAUACCCGCUGAACUUAAGCAUAUCAAUA
Molecule: ribosomal RNA, 543 nt
Filed under: Cladosporium sp. B12 MH-2014
Lineage: Eukaryota; Fungi; Ascomycota; Dothideomycetes; Cladosporiales; Cladosporiaceae
Description: eukaryotic LSU rRNA
Rfam family: 5.8S ribosomal RNA (bases 188-341)
Source: RNAcentral